CCCGGUCCCCGGAUGAAAGGCAGGGGGCGGUCCAUGAAGCCAGCUCAAAGAGGCGGCAGAGGAGUAAGGAGUUCGGCGUCACCCGCCUCGUUAGGCUUGGCAAGUACCAGAAGGCUCAUUGAGAUUUCCUGUGGUUUAUGACCCAAGUUGACAACUGUGACUUCUUCUUUGUGGCGUUCUGAUGGUUAUGUCGUAUAAGAAUCACCUUAUAUCAUUUGAGAAGCUGCUGACACGGAGCACUGGUUUGAUGGAUGACCUGAGCGGCUGCUGUUCCCAUCAGAGCGCACUUACACAUCCAUUAUUGUGUUGAAGACACCCACACAACUCCUCUGCUAUUGGGACGUCCCGAGCGCGCGGCAGUUUCAUAAAUGCCAGGUUCCGAGCAUUGCGUGGGAAAGUGCAGCGGCGCAGUAAAGCAUCGCCUGGCCUUUUGGCAAUCACCAGAUUAUUACAUUUUAAAGCAACCUGCAACCAGGAGAAUGUGGCACCUUACAAAAGGCAGCUUCCCCCAGCACCCACUAAAACAGCCUCGUAACAGAGUGGCAGAGCCCUUCUCCAUGCUGACAUCUCUUGGUCUACCCUAUUCAGGUAAUUUGGUGGCUAGUGUCACUGGGUGGGGUACUUCCCUGCGACAAGCUUCCCCAGGUCCUUUCUUAGGCAGCUUUGCAGCAAAGUGCCACCAUGAGGAUACCUGGCUCAACCAGCUAUUCCUAAUAAUCCAGAGGGAAAUUUUCCAAUGAAUCCUACCAACAUAGAACCUCAGGAAACAUCUUUGCUAUCCCUUGAGCUGUGGCUGUGCCCUCUAACUAGACCUGUAUUUUCGUUCUGGAGUCUGUUUGUGAGCUCUUUCUCACUCCCGGGGGUAGUGGCUGCUGCUUACAUCUGCUACUUUGUAUUCUUUAGACUUCUCUUUUCCUCUUAGCAGCCAGUGCCCCACUACUCCAGACUUUUGCUGAUAAUACCUCUGGUACAUUGAAUUAUGGCCCCCGAAGAGAGCCACAUUCUAGUCCCUGCAACCUGUGAUUAUGUUACCU
This 1034-nucleotide long non-coding RNA is filed under the name Equus caballus (horse). RNAcentral's name for it is "lncRNA (ENSECAG00000029996.3)". The record is from RNAcentral. Lineage: Eukaryota; Metazoa; Chordata; Mammalia; Perissodactyla; Equidae.